GGUUCUUGAAGGCCGUCACCUGUGCCUGGUGGGUCUGUGUGAGAACACUCAGGUCCUGCCGCUUUGAUAACUUUCGAAGUCCUUCCCUGAGGCUGCUCAGCUGGCUCAGGAGCAGAGAGACGCAGAACCCGGUGGAGCCAUUCUCACCCCCAGGCCUUCUCACUGAAACCUCAGAACAACACCCAGGAGACCCUCCUCUCGUCCCAGCAGGGGGACUGAGGCCUCCCCAGUCUCCAGCCUGGGAGCCACUCACUACCCACGGGGCCCACUUAUGUCUAAAUUGAUUAAAAUUAGGUGAAAAGUUUAGUCACACAAACUGAAGUACUGAGCCCUUUACCGUGGAAAGUUUCAGGGGGCGGCUGCUUGUGGUUCAGAAAGUUGGUCACAGGCAGGAGUCUAGAGCUACUCAGGAGGGCAGCCACCUUGGCCCCACCCCAGGCCCUGUUAUUGCAGAGGGGCCACCUGGGGGCUGCUGGGCUGACUGUGAGCGUUCUCACCCACCCCUCGACCAGCGAGCAGCUUCGUCCCGUAGGCCCGGGUUGUCAGGAGCACCGAGGAGUCCCCCCGCAGUGGCCCUGGCAGGUCAGCCCGAGAGAGCAGGGCCGCCACGUCUGCGGGGGCAGCCUCAUCAGCCUCCGUGGGUGCUGCCCGCCGCCCACUGCGUCUGCAGCUCUGUGAGCCUGACCGUCCAGCUGGGAGCAUCUGUCCUGCACACCAGCCCCCCAGGCUGUCUUCGUGGCUGUGCUCUGCGUCAUCUGACACCCCUCCUUCAACGGGAAUGUGCCUGCUGAAGCUGGCUCCGCUGUGCCCGUCUCCCAAACCGUCAGGCCCAUCCCUCUGGCCUCGGCAGGCUCCUCCUUCCCACCGGGCACCCUCUGCUGGCUCACCGGCUGGGGGGACAUCAGGCAGGAUGCCUCCUGCAGUGGCCCUGCCAGAGCCCCAUAGGCUUCAGGAGGUGGACGUGCACAUUGUCAGCCUGCAGAGCUGCCGCAGGCUCUCCUGCUUGGAGCCCGUCACCAAGGAGAUGCUGGGUGCUGGCCACUGCCAGGGCCAGAAGGGCUUCUGCAAGCUCAGACCCCCAUUGGCACUCCUGCCCUGGUCCCCUUUUAUCCUAAGUGACCCCAAGAGGCAGGCUGGGUCCUGGACUUGGGGCAGGGGAGAGACAUCAUCAUCUCGCUCCACGAGGUGGAGGGCUUUGCCUCGCCCCCGAGGUGGAACGGCGUCUGGUGCAGCUGGAGCUCGAUGGAUGCUUGUUACAAGAAUGAGUCUGGAGUCAACCUGACAAUAAACAGCCAGAGAACUCGAGCUCCAGCUGCCGCAGGGAGGUGAGCGGGUGCUGCAAAGACGCAGAGGGUCAGAAUCCAGGCUCAGAGAGGCCAUGUGACUUGUAAGGGAGGCAGCAUGCAUCAGGGGAAGCAUCCAGGCUUGGAAUAAUAAUAAAGUAACUGAAUCUCAGUGAUGCUGUAACCUAGCUGUGUGAUCUUUAGGGAGUUUCUUAACCUCUCUGAGCCUCAGAGGCC
Molecule: long non-coding RNA, 1520 nt
Organism: Bos taurus (domestic cattle)
Lineage: Eukaryota; Metazoa; Chordata; Mammalia; Artiodactyla; Bovidae
Source: Ensembl